GUACUGACCUGGCAGGGAAGAUACCAUCAUCAUGAAGGUGGUUUUCCCAGGGUGAGGCUUUUCCAUUGCACUCCCAAUGUGCUGUCCCCUGCAAUUUCCCCAAAUGUGGAAAAUUUGACUGCAUAAUUUGUGAUAGUGGG
RNAcentral lists this small nuclear RNA (140 nucleotides) under Myotis davidii. RNAcentral's name for it is "U1 spliceosomal RNA". It matches the Rfam family "U1 spliceosomal RNA", at positions 1 to 141 of the family's 166-position model. Rfam says of the family: U1 is a small nuclear RNA (snRNA) component of the spliceosome (involved in pre-mRNA splicing). Its 5' end forms complementary base pairs with the 5' splice junction, thus defining the 5' donor site of an intron. Lineage: Eukaryota; Metazoa; Chordata; Mammalia; Chiroptera; Vespertilionidae. The record is from Rfam by way of RNAcentral.